Molecule: ribosomal RNA, 434 nt
Filed under: uncultured Lachnospiraceae bacterium
Lineage: Bacteria; Bacillati; Bacillota; Clostridia; Lachnospirales; Lachnospiraceae
Description: partial 16S ribosomal RNA
Rfam family: Bacterial small subunit ribosomal RNA
Source: RNAcentral
ACGGGAGGCAGCAGUGGGGAAUAUUGGACAAUGGGGGAAACCCUGAUCCAGCGACGCCGCGUGAGUGAAGAAGUAUUUCGGUAUGUAAAGCUCUAUCAGCAGGGAAGAUAAUGACGGUACCUGACUAAGAAGCCCCGGCUAACUACGUGCCAGCAGCCGCGGUAAUACGUAGGGGGCAAGCGUUAUCCGGAUUUACUGGGUGUAAAGGGAGCGUAGACGGAAGGCCAAGUCUGAUGUGAAAACCCAGGGCUCAACCCUGGGACUGCAUUGGAAACUGGUCAUCUAGAGUGCAGGAGGGGUAAGCGGAAUUCCUAGUGUAGCGGUGAAAUGCGUAGAUAUUAGGAGGAACACCAGUGGCGAAGGCGGCUUACUGGACGAUAACUGACGUUGAGGCUCGAAAGCGUGGGGAGCAAACAGGAUUAGAUACCCUGGUA